RNAcentral lists this long non-coding RNA (303 nucleotides) under Mytilus galloprovincialis (Mediterranean mussel). Lineage: Eukaryota; Metazoa; Mollusca; Bivalvia; Mytilida; Mytilidae. The record is from RNAcentral.
UACAAUGUUUUGUUUAUAAUUUUAUUAACAUUGAACUUCUAUUAACAAAUAAAUAUAGAGCACUGAUUUUAAAAUGGAUGGAUACAAUUAUUUAUUGUACAUGUUUGUAAAAUGGACGGAUAUGUUCAUAUAAAAUAAUAAUAAUAAACUUAACAAUUCAUUCAUCAUAAAAAGCUUACAAUUUUGAUACCAGGCAAAAUGGCUGUGAGGCCUAAAAAAAUACUGCCUGCAGUCAAGGUUUUCUUAGUGCAAAACAGUCACAUCUCAUACAUAUAAAUGAAAAAAUCCUCCCAAUGGAGGGUU